Patiria miniata (bat star) is the source of this 2927-nucleotide long non-coding RNA. RefSeq lists it as uncharacterized. Lineage: Eukaryota; Metazoa; Echinodermata; Asteroidea; Valvatida; Asterinidae. The record is from RefSeq and is a predicted model, not a curated record. The transcript has 3 exons.
GUGAUUCAUUUUUACUACAGGUACUGUACAGCAUUUUGAAGACGUAUUGAAUUUAUAAACAUUUCGUUCGUGCUAUCGAAGAGAAAUACAGAAGUGAAAAUCACUUUUUUUGGUAAUCAAUACAUUUAUAUUUAAGCUUAAAUUAGUUUCAAAACUUCAAAAGAUUUUGUAGGAAAAAAAGAGAGGUGUUACAUGUUUACCCCCAAGCAAAAAUGAUUCAUCCCAAAUAGCUGCGCGCUGGAUGUUGUUAAUAGUUGGUGCCCGACCCCAUUAUAUGGAGAACAAUGUUGGAACCGCACUCAACAUUGGUAGAUAAACAUUCUCGAUAUGGCCCCGAGGGCUGCCAAAACAGACGAAGAAAAACGUGAAAUUGUGCUGGAAUACUUGGAGAAACAAUGUGAACCAAAAGAACGUAAAAUCAUGCAGGAUUUUCCCGAAGACCUAACAUUCACCUCGAUGUUAAGGCAAAAAGCGGCGUGAUCUUGACAGCAGAGCUGACAACUUACUGGGACUUGCUACGACAGAGGAAAGGAUCGACCCCAAAGUGUUUGGUGUAUAUGCAUGGCACUUUCAAUGCGCUUGCUGAAGCAUAUGCCAGUGUCCGUGAUGUCCUGCACGAGGGAGCAUUCACUGUGGGAAAGAAGGACAGAACACAACUCAUGGUGGAGGUUUUUUCACUCUCAACUACCAGCUUGUGACUGGGAACGAAUCCUGGAUGAAUUUUCGAGGUCAGAUUCAAUUAUCUGACGCCUCAUGCGCACUUCAGCCUUCGGCAUGGGAAUAGACAUUCCAGACAUAUGAGUGGUUGUAGUAUGGGGUGCACCAUCUUCAUUGUCUGCAUUGUGGCAAGAAAUUGGGAGAGCCAGGAGAGACGGCAAUAAGGCAGAAUCCUACAUAAUGCUGACACCAUCCAGUUGCAAGCAUGCUGAUGACGCGAUCAAACAUCUUUGUAAUUACUCGAAAGUAUCACUGCAUCAGGAAGUUCAUCUUGGAAAAUGUGUUCUAAAAGGGUGUAUAGACUUUCCAGACCAGCAACGACAUACAGUGUGUUGUUGCUGCUUCGGUGAUGGCAUGUCCUCUUAGCUAACAUGUAUGAGGUCUCUCUCCAAGUCUCGUUGAUGGCUGCAGUUUUUGAGCUUAUCUCUGAGCUUGUUUGGACUUUUGGGUGGUCGAAGUCCGGAUAGGAACUGUGUGCCCUCUCUGGUUUCAAUCCAUCAACAAGCUUGACGAGCUGGUAGUAGGCUCUAGCCGACUUGGAGUUGGCAAUAUAUUUGUCCAUGAGUUGCUCAGUGCCAUCGAAGGGACGAUCCCAGGCUUCCUGUUAUAGGACUCACUGGCAAUGAUCAAACAUCUUUGCGAUUUCUCGAAAGUAUCCUGCAUCGAGAAGUUCCAUCUUGGAAAAUGUGUUGUACAAGGGUCUGGUCGUUGUUCGGACCUUCCAGACCAGCAACAACAUACAGUGUGGGGUUGCUACUUUAGUGAGCCAUGUCCUCUUAGGUUAUGUCUCUCUCCAAGUUAAGUUCAUGGCUGCAGUUUUGGAGCUUAUCUCCAAGCUUGUUUGGGUUUUUCACCUGGAGUCAGCGUUCGAAGUCUGGAUACGAACCAUUAGCCCUCUCUGGUUUGAAGUCAAAGAUGCUGUCAUCUUUCAAUCCAUCAACAAGCUUGAGGAUGUCUCUCAGGUAGGAGGCUCUAGCGGACUUUGAUUUGGCAACAUACCUGUUCAUGAGUUGAACAUUCGUCGAAGGGACGAUCCCAGGCUUCCUGUUUACAACUCGCUCCCUUGAUGUGUUGUUCUGAGUAGUUACCCCUGGUGCGUUUCAGUGUGUCUAUAACAAAGGCAACAAGUUAGAAUAACAAAAAUAGGCACAACUGAAUAAGAUAAUGAAGAAUACAACUUUUCACAGCAAAUGCACACAAGAGAAUUAAUGAUGCUUUGUUUUUGGUCUUUCCAUGCAUUCUUAAACAAAAUCAUGCAAGCACACAGGUAUUGGAGGAUAAAAAAGAAGAGUAUUACCUUUGAAUUUGUUGUUUGCAAAUUCAUUGACGAGGUCAAGGGGCAAGUUUUUUCCUGCCCCUCCCGCAAUAUUCGCAGUGCGGUUCCAAGUCAUAUUGUGGAUCAAUCUUGCCGGCAGCCAUUCGUUUACACCUGCCAAAAAUAAUGUCAUGAAGGUGAAUUAUUUAAAGGUGAUUAUAAAUGCAAGGCAGAUUAUGUAAUGAUAGCAACAACUAAGUGACAUUAAUGUAGCCUACAUAUGUAUUAAUUCAAGUAACAUUUGAUUAGUUUAUCCUUAGUGACGGUGAUGAUGACGAUAAGAAUGAUGUUACCACUAGUGUAUUUCUGAAUUACAAUUGAAAUUAACUUAUUUACAAACCUGCUAGAAGUCGGUAUGCCAGCGUGAGGUGAUGUGGAAUGGACAUUUUCCAUAGCCUCAACAUCUGGGGACCAUCAGUUUCCCUUUCUGCAUCUCUGAAACUCAUUAUGAGCAAUCCAUGCCCCACGAGUGACCGGCUGUAGGCUGGCACAUGAUCGUUGUUGACGUCCUUGCUGGUGACCUUGCAUUUACCACUCGUUUUCUGUUCACGAAAAAGUCUGAAAAGUAACAGAAAUGUUGGGAAAUUGUAUCCAUGAAGUUAGCAUAGCAUAAGUUGGUAUUGAGAAUAAUCAAAUUAACUAUUGGGAACAGAAUGCGAUUAAUAACGAUCAGGAAUGUACCUUUUUUCCCACCCCCAUCACAAUGCCCAUGCCCAUACCAGCUUUUCAAAAAUAAACAUUACAGAAUUUUGUAACAUGUGGUCAGGGAAUAUGGAGAUGAACCCUGUCCAGGAAAAUUAAGUUAAUUUUGAACUUUUUGAGUUUUGUGCACAAUAUUUUCUUGCCGGUAAAUUAUACUUACCUACAACACUGGACGAGGGUGACAUACCGGUAA